GCCAAUGUAUCAGAGGCCAUUUAUGAGGGGCAAAUUGUACAUUCGUUUCGUCGUUGAAUUCCCAGAUUCAUUGAACACAGAACAGGUGAAGGCUCUGGAGGCAAUCUUACCACCAAGACCUCAGUCACAGUACACAGACAUGGAAUUGGAUGAGUGUGAGGAGACUUCUUUACAUGAUGUGAAUAUUGAGGAGGAAAUGAGAAGGAAACAGGCAGCUCAACAAGAGGCAUAUGAUGAGGAUGAUGAGAUGCAUGGUGGUGGAGGACAGAGAGUACAAUGUGC
Molecule: long non-coding RNA, 282 nt
Filed under: Nicotiana tabacum (common tobacco)
Lineage: Eukaryota; Viridiplantae; Streptophyta; Magnoliopsida; Solanales; Solanaceae
Description: long non-coding RNA (NTAB_LNC014591)
Source: RNAcentral